AACAUACGUAAAUAUAAAUCUCACAUAUAGUUUCUCUCCAUAUUAAUUUUCAUAGUUUUGUUAUUUUGAAGAUUAUACUUUUUAAAAUUAUACGAUAUAAUUAGAAUACGAAGAAUUAUAAUAAUGCAGAAAUAUUUAAAUUCAUAAUAAUUUUGGUGUUUAAAUAUAUUGAUAAACGUUCGUAAUAAUAAUAAUAAUAAUAAUAAUCCAUUUUAAAUAUAUCUUGUUCUAAAAUAAGAUUUAAUUGUCUAUAUUAAUGUUAUUUAACUAUAUUACGUGGAAAUCGACAAUGUGGAAUUUAUAAUGGUCUAAUCUCGUGAUUUGUCUUGUAAAAACAAAUUCUAUGACGCAGUGUUUAAAGAAUCAUGUGGAUAAAGAAAAUUCAUCAAUUCCGAAGCACACGUAACCUUAUUACGGGCACGAUUGCCUUAAUUUUUUUCUGUAGAAGAUAAAAUCGAGAUAAAGGUCGAAAGAUCCGUGGAUUUGUUCAAUUGUCAUUAAUAAAUGCAAAAAUUUGUAAUGUAAUGUCAUCUCGUGUUUCAUUAGAAUCCAUUGCAUGCAUUGAAUCCAUAGAAUCCAUAGAAUGCAUUGUAUUUUCUUGUAAAAGUGGUGAAGAAAGUUUUGACUCUAGUGUUCUUAAAUGUCGUGAAAAAAUUCAUCCAAUAUGCCUGUCUGACACUGCACACUGUCAGAAUACACAGGCAGCCUUAAAAUGUUAUGCAGAAGCAUGACUUUACAGCUAUUCUAUUCUAUCAUUUUUAAAUGUAAGUAAUGAAACGGAACAAGAAAUUUGAUUGGAUUAGAUAUAGGAAUACUUUUGGUCCUUCGGUAAAACAUAUAUCUGAAAAUAUAAUGGCAAUAAAAUACUAAGCUUGGAUUAAAUGUCCAUCAGGUUAAAAUAUUCAUUUUUCUUUUUUCAUUAGAAAAUUAAAACAAACAGAAUCAAACAUUGUUAUUUUUGUUAUUCUUCUAUGAUUAUAAUCUUUAUAAUUUAAUAUUUAAUUACAAACAUAUUUGCGUACA
Apis cerana (Asiatic honeybee) is the source of this 1023-nucleotide long non-coding RNA. RefSeq lists it as uncharacterized. The record is from RefSeq and is a predicted model, not a curated record. NCBI's taxonomy places the organism in Eukaryota, Metazoa, Arthropoda, Insecta, Hymenoptera, Apidae.